AGAGUUUGAUUCUGGCUCAGGACGAACGCUGGCGGCGUGCCUAAUACAUGCAAGUCGAGCGCAGGAAGCUGGCGGAACUCUUCGGAGGGAAGGCAGUGGAAUGAGCGGCGGACGGGUGAGUAACACGUAAGGAACCUGCCUCAAGGAUUGGGAUAACUCCGAGAAAUCGGAGCUAAUACCGGAUAGUUCAACGGACCGCAUGGUCCGCUGAUGAAAGGCGCUUCGGCGUCACCUUGAGAUGGCCUUGCGGUGCAUUAGCUAGUUGGUGGGGUAACGGCCCACCAAGGCGACGAUGCAUAGCCGACCUGAGAGGGUGAUCGGCCACACUGGGACUGAGACACGGCCCAGACUCCUACGGGAGGCAGCAGUAGGGAAUCUUCCACAAUGGACGAAAGUCUGAUGGAGCAACGCCGCGUGAGUGAUGAAGGUUUUCGGAUCGUAAAACUCUGUUGUAAGGGAAGAACACGUACGAGAGGGAAUGCUCGUACCUUGACGGUACCUUACGAGAAAGCCACGGCUAACUACGUGUCAGCCGCCGCGGUAA
This 544-nucleotide ribosomal RNA is filed under the name uncultured Exiguobacterium sp. RNAcentral describes it as "bacterial SSU rRNA". It matches the Rfam family "Bacterial small subunit ribosomal RNA", at positions 8 to 523 of the family's 1533-position model. The record is from RNAcentral. Lineage: Bacteria; Bacillati; Bacillota; Bacilli; Caryophanales.